RNAcentral lists this ribosomal RNA (481 nucleotides) under uncultured bacterium. RNAcentral describes it as "partial 16S ribosomal RNA". It matches the Rfam family "Bacterial small subunit ribosomal RNA", at positions 28 to 507 of the family's 1533-position model. The record is from RNAcentral.
GAUGAACGCUGGCGGCGUGCUUAACACAUGCAAGUAGAACGAAGCACUUUAUUUUAUUUCCUUCGGGACUGUUUAUUUUGUGACUGAGUGGCGGACGGGUGAGUAACGCGUGGGUAACCUGCCUUGUACAGGGGGAUAACAGUUGGAAACGGCUGCUAAUACCGCAUAAGCGCACAGCAUCGCAUGAAGCAGUGUGAAAAACUCCGGUGGUAUAAGAUGGACGCGCGUUGGAUGAGCUAGCUGGUGAGGUAACGGCCCACCAAGGCGACGAUCCAUAGCCGAGCUGAGAGGGUGGCCCGCCACAUUAGGAGUGGGACACGGCGCGAACUCCUGGGAGAGGCAGCAAUGGGGAACAUUGCACAAUGGGCGAGAGCCUGAUGCAGCCGGGCCGCGUGAGCGAAGUAGUAGUGCAGUAUGUAUAGCACUAUCAGCAGUGAAGAUAAUGACGGUACCUGACUAAGAAGCAACGGCUAAAUACGUG